CAUAAAACACAAACAAAUGAUUUACAGUUCAAGCAGCGAAGAUGAAGACAAUCCACUUAACUAUAAAAUGAAAGGAAAUAAAACUAUAGAUUGGCCCCUAAAGAAAUCUAAGGGAUAACUAAGGGAUACCUAAAACGCACAACUAGCUUCAUGAAACGUGUUUUUCAGAAAUGAUGUCGAAGAUGUGGAAAAUUAAAAGCACUAUCCAGUUUAACUUCAUAUGGACAAAAUAAUAAAGAUAUCUUUAUUGUGUUAUUUUAAUAUAAAAAAAUAUGAUUUUGCAAUGUACACAUUGGCACUUAAUGUGAAUAUUUUAUAAACAAUUAAGAAUUUAUAUUUUUGUUGAAUAAAUAUUUGUAAAAUUUUAUUUAAUAAAAAAAUAUGAUAAUGCA
Long non-coding RNA from Bombyx mori (domestic silkworm), 392 nucleotides. RefSeq lists it as uncharacterized. The transcript is spliced from 2 exons. The record is from RefSeq and is a predicted model, not a curated record. NCBI's taxonomy places the organism in Eukaryota, Metazoa, Arthropoda, Insecta, Lepidoptera, Bombycidae.